This 492-nucleotide ribosomal RNA is filed under the name uncultured bacterium. RNAcentral's name for it is "partial 16S ribosomal RNA". It matches the Rfam family "Bacterial small subunit ribosomal RNA", at positions 29 to 507 of the family's 1533-position model. The record is from RNAcentral.
AGUGAACGCUGGCGGUAGGCCUAACACAUGCAAGUCGAACGGCAGCACUGUAAGAGCUUGCUCUUACGGGUGGCGAGUGGCGGACGGGUGAGGAAUACAUCGGAAUCUACUUUUUCGUGGGGGAUAGCGUAGGGAAACUUACGCUAAUACCGCAUACGACCUACGGGUGAAAGCAGGGGAUCUUCGGACCUUGCGCGAUUGAAUGAGCCGAUGUCGGAUUAGCUAGUUGGCGGGGUAAAGGCCCACCAAGGCGACGAUCCGUAGCUGGUCUGAGAGGAUGAUCAGCCACACUGGAACUGAGACACGGUCCAGACUCCUACGGGAGGCAGCAGUGGGGAAUAUUGGACAAUGGGCGCAAGCCUGAUCCAGCCAUACCGCGUGGGUGAAGAAGGCCUUCGGGUUGUAAAGCCCUUUUGUUGGGAAAGAAAAGCAGCAGGUUAAUACCCCGCUGUUCUGACGGUACCCAAAGAAUAAGCACCGGCUAACUUCGUG